This 375-nucleotide ribosomal RNA is filed under the name uncultured Serratia sp. RNAcentral's name for it is "bacterial SSU rRNA". It matches the Rfam family "Bacterial small subunit ribosomal RNA", at positions 521 to 896 of the family's 1533-position model. The record is from RNAcentral. Lineage: Bacteria; Pseudomonadati; Pseudomonadota; Gammaproteobacteria; Enterobacterales; Yersiniaceae.
UAAUACGGAGGGUGCAAGCGUUAAUCGGAAUUACUGGGCGUAAAGCGCACGCAGGCGGUUUGUUAAGUCAGAUGUGAAAUCCCCGGGCUCAACCUGGGAACUGCAUUUGAAACUGGCAAGCUAGAGUCUCGUAGAGGGGGGUAGAAUUCCAGGUGUAGCGGUGAAAUGCGUAGAGAUCUGGAGGAAUACCGGUGGCGAAGGCGGCCCCCUGGAGAAGACUGACGCUCAGGUGCGAAAGCGUGGGGAGCAAACAGGAUUAGAUACCCUGGUAGUCCACGCUGUAAACGAUGUCGAUUUGGAGGUUGUGCCCUUGAGGCGUGGCUUCCGGAGCUAACGCGUUAAAUCGACCGCCUGGGGAGUACGGCCGCAAGGUUA